This is a long non-coding RNA of Melozone crissalis (California towhee), 441 nucleotides long. RefSeq lists it as uncharacterized. Lineage: Eukaryota; Metazoa; Chordata; Aves; Passeriformes; Passerellidae. The transcript is spliced from 3 exons. The record is from RefSeq and is a predicted model, not a curated record.
GUACAGGGGCGGCGGCUCCAGCGGCGUGUUGUCACUCAGAAGGACUCGGGGAGAAUUGUAGCGUCUCUGCUGCCUCAGGAGAUCUAAAACUUGUUUUUUAAAAUGUCUGCCUGAAUGAGUUUAAUAAUAAGAGAAUUUAUCGAAUCUUCUGGCAAACUCCUUUGAUCCAUGUUGGAAGACUGGAUGCCACGCAGGUGAAAAUCUUUCUGCAAAAGAGAGGAGCUGACCUGCCUGAGGUGCACAGGAGGCCUGUGGCGUGACAGGGCUGGACUGGAAGAAGUCAAUGCAAGCAGAGGCCAGAGAAGCUUCUAGGUUUGGACCUGCUGGUUCCUGCAGCAGCACACUUCAUUGAGUAGUACCAAAAAUGAAUUUUGUUCUGUGUUGUGAUUUGCAGUUAGGUUCUUUGGUUUCCUAAAAAAUCAAAUUGCAGCCAAAGCUUCC